GUUGGAGGAGGCAUAGGGGAUAGGGCAUGUGACUUGAGAGGUAGCAGGAAUAAAGGAGACAAUGGGUCAUUUUAGCAAUAGUUAGAGCUUUGAUAGAGUGCAGUGUGCAUUGGAGCAUUUUGAGCAGAGGAUUGACUUAGGCUGCUCUGAGAAGCAUAGACUACAGUGGAGCAAAAAGGAAAUGCAGAAAACCCAUUAAGAAGACUGUCACAAUAAUCCAGUUCCCUUGACCUCAGAUAAUCAGAUAAGCAGCAACACAAGAGGACCGAAAUCAGGAAACUGAGCUCAUGAAGGGAUUGCUGCUGCUGCUGCUGGUAAUGAUGAUGGUGGAACCCUUGGGAAUAUGUCUGCUUGUAAAGAGGGGUGGGGACAAUGGUGCAGAGACAAUAAUGACCAAAUAUCAUAUGUGCUCUUGUUCAUUUCCCAGACCACUAAAUAUUGAAGUGGAACAAUGUUGCCAGCUCUGGUCAAUGGACUAUGAUGCAUGUAAUUUUCUGUGCAAGGAGGUGAACCAUCAGAUACCUCAUACAUUCCCCACUGGCCACCAUGGUGCCACUGGAGGCUGAGAGUAAAAGAUGGUAGAGUUAGAAGAUAGCAGAGGGCCACAUGUCUUGCAUCAGAUUUGAUGCAAAUGAGAAAAACUAAAGUUUAUUCUGGUAUGCUCCCAAAUAUGGAGGGUUCUUUCUUUGAUAUUAGUCAAGUCAUUCUGCUAAUACAGGGUAAAGAAUAAUUCUAUAUGUUGACGUAUGGCUUCUCUGCCAAAGUAGAGACAUAACUGCUUAACUGCCCAAAUAUAACCAGGCAUUCAGAGUCUCUUCUUGCCUCACUCCCUGCCAAAUUAUCUGCAUUAUCAGGGAAUAAAAGGGAGUCUUGGUCACCUAUCUCCUCUUCAUGCACCAAAUUCUCAUUUACGUCAGUAACAGUACCUCAGUCCUGACAGUAAUGGGGACACCUGUUAAGGCCUUCAGAAGCAAUUAGCCUCAAAUAAAUGUGGCAGGCAUUUGCCCAUCACAGUGGAUUUACUGAAGGCUAAGUGUUCUGUAAUUCAGUCUUAAACCUUGAGGUGUUAUUUUUCAGCCCUAAAAGGUGUAAUAUAUUUGUGCUCAUCCCCACCCUCUAUCACAGCCAACACACAACCUGCCAAACUUCCAUUCCUGGGAAAAAAGACAAUGCUGGUCCCUCCGGCCAAUGUCAAACCACAUUUCUUCAGUAUACUUUUAAAAAUAUAAACUGAUGAGACAGAACUUGAGUAAUAAAAACAAUGAGUAACAAUUUGAUACCCCCUGAGGAAUCCAGCUAGUUAAAAGAGUAUCCUAAACAGGUUUAAAAAUGGAGAGGGAAUCAGUUCUGUGUUUCAAAAACAAAGCCUUCAAAAAUAAUUAAUAAUGGCUUAACUUUAUACCCAUUAAACUUUAUUAUUUUUAAAGGUUUUCCCUUUUGAAACAUAGAUUGACUUCUUCUCCAUUUUUAAUCUUGUUUAGGAUGCUUUUAUCUAUCUCACGAGACUCCUCUGGAUAAGUUAAGUUCUGGGCAUUCUAUCACACAGAAAGGCGACAGUGAUUGUACUUAGUAAUAAUGUAUUGUAUCCAUCAGAAUAUCUACAAGAGAGGAUUUUAAAUAUUUACAACACAAGGAAAUGAUGAACAGUUGAGUUGCACUGCUUGCCACAACUGAAGACUAAGUGUAAGAUUUAUCCUGGUUAAAGCGUUAGUAACUAACAGGUGUGUAAUGUCAUGCUCACCCAUAACCCCUCCCCCACUGUUCAGCAAUAGCAUAUGGAAAGGUUGACAAGUCAAUACAGGGUUGUUGUUUCAGACACUUCCUAUGCUGUCUCCUAGCAUCUUGCACUUGCCUCUAAUUCCAGCCAUAUCUACACCAAAUCAUUCUAUGCCAACUUUGACUCACUUUCUGCUCACGGGAUCAUGCCUUAGCAUGAGCCACACGCUUCUCGCUUUCAGUCAAGGACAUUACCACUGUGUAUGAACAGUGUAUGAACACCAGUGAGAGUCUUAUUUGAAUCUGUGCAAGCCAGAGUGGAUUCAAAUUCAAUUGCUUUUUUUACUUUUUCUUAAUGGCAAAUCUCUUAACCUUUUUCAGCCCCAUUUUUUCUGUCUAAUAAAAUAAGGGUGAGAAUAUUUAACUCAAAUAAAUACUAUGGCAGCUGUAGAUAAAAUAUGCAAAAUGAUACAUAGAAGCUGUUCUUUAAGUGUUAAUGUCUCUGCUUUCCUAGCUAUCAUCCUAUUUCAUCCACAUGGAUGAGAGCCUUAGGAAAAUCCCAGUGGAGACUAUGAAUCAUGCCCAUUUUGGAAUAAACGUAAAACUCACCAAUAGAAGAAAAAAGAGCUCCCCUUUCUCUUUCUCCUAGCAAAGAUUAUAAUUGAUUGUCAAUAUAUGUUCUAGAGUUCACACGAAUUUGCAGGGCUUUCCAAUAGUAAGAGAAUCUUAUUAACAAAUUAUAUUCUUUUCAUGAUUUAUAAUAAACAUUUUAUGUUUUCCACUUUUGUAAAUUUUUGAUAGUUGCAAACAUAGUGGAUAUACUCUGAGGAAUGUUUUACAGUUAGUAAAAAUCAACAUUGAUGAACCCCUCU
This 2588-nucleotide long non-coding RNA is filed under the name Homo sapiens (human). RNAcentral's name for it is "HSALNT0144087". The record is from RNAcentral. Lineage: Eukaryota; Metazoa; Chordata; Mammalia; Primates; Hominidae.